AUGCAGAUGGUCACUUGCGGUCGCACGGCCGUGAACAUAAAUGGCGAGAUCGGCCCUUUCUUGCCCACCCUCUAUGGGGUUAGACAAGGCGACCCAUUCUCUCCGUUCUUGUUCAAUAUGGUCGUGGACGCGCUGGCGUCCAUCCUUGAUAAGGCGAAAGCCGCUGGCCAUAUUCGUGGGAUUACUUCCCACCUCGCCGGUGGCUCCGGGAUCUCCAUCCUCGAGUAUGCUGACGACACUAUCAUCAUGGUUGAAGGCUCGGAAACUGAUAUCUCCAACCUCAAGUUCCUCCUUCUCUGCUUCCAACAAAUGUUGGGCCUCAAGAUCAACUUCGUCAAGAGUGAUGUGAUGGUGAUGGGAUACUCCCCCGCUGAGUCUUUGGCCAUUGCCAACAGACUUAACUGUCGCAUGGGCUCCUUCCCCAUGACCUACCUGGGGACGCCCAUUAGUGAUUCCCGGCUCACAGUCGCGGACUUGCGCCCCUCCGUGGCCAAGCUCCAAACGCGCGUCAAGCCUUGGCAGGGGAGAUGGCUAUCCAAAGCAGCCUGGACUAUUCUCAUCAAUUCUUCCCUCUCCAGCCUCCUCUUGUUCCUCAUGAGCUUCUACAACCUCCACGAGUCCCUUCACAAGGAGAUUGCCAAGAUUCAGUCCCGCUUUUAUUGGGCAGGCGACAAUGAUAAGCAGAAGUAUCAUAUGGUCAGCUGGCCCGACAUUUGCAAGCCCCGGAGCAAGGUGGCCUUGGCAUCAUGUGCUCUAAACGAAUGA
RNAcentral lists this ribosomal RNA (765 nucleotides) under Triticum aestivum (bread wheat). RNAcentral describes it as "partial small subunit ribosomal RNA". Lineage: Eukaryota; Viridiplantae; Streptophyta; Magnoliopsida; Poales; Poaceae. The record is from RNAcentral.